CCUACGGGUGUCUGCAGUCGAGAAUCUUUCACAAUGGGGGAAACCCUGAUGGUGCGACGCCGCGUGGGGGAAUGAAGGUCUUCGGAUUGUAAACCCCUUUCAUGUGGGAGCAAAUUAAAAAGAUAGUACAACAAGAGGAGGAAACGUCUAACACUGUGCCAGCAGCCGCGGUAAUAAAUAGGGCUUCAGCGUUGUUAGGAAUCACUGGGCGUAACGGGUGCGUAGGUGGUUUCGUAGGUCAGGUGUGAAAGGCGCGGGCUCAACCCGCGUACUGCAGAUGAGACUGGGAGACUUGAGUAAAGGAGGGGGAACGGGAAUGCUCGGUGUAGCAGUGAAAGGCGUAGAUAUCGAGAGGAACAC
This 360-nucleotide ribosomal RNA is filed under the name uncultured bacterium. RNAcentral describes it as "partial 16S ribosomal RNA". It matches the Rfam family "Bacterial small subunit ribosomal RNA", at positions 338 to 709 of the family's 1533-position model. The record is from RNAcentral.